Molecule: ribosomal RNA, 181 nt
Filed under: uncultured Lachnospiraceae bacterium
Lineage: Bacteria; Bacillati; Bacillota; Clostridia; Lachnospirales; Lachnospiraceae
Description: partial 16S ribosomal RNA
Rfam family: Bacterial small subunit ribosomal RNA
Source: RNAcentral
UCUAGAUUCCUACGGGAGGCAGCAGUGGGGAAUAUUGGACAAUGGGGGAAACCCUGAUCCAGCGACGCCGCGUGAGUGAAGAAGUAUUUCGGUAUGUAAAGCUCUAUCAGCAGGGAAGAAAAUGACGGUACCUGACUAAGAAGCCCCGGCUAACUACGUGCCAGCAGCCGCGGUAAUACAC